This 1873-nucleotide small RNA is filed under the name Pongo abelii (Sumatran orangutan). Its description in RNAcentral is "retained intron". Lineage: Eukaryota; Metazoa; Chordata; Mammalia; Primates; Hominidae. The record is from RNAcentral.
GGCGCAGAUGGCGGCGGCGCACGGCGCCUGAGCGGGCCGGGGCCAUGAGCGCCGCCCGGCCCCAGUUCAGCAUUGAUGAUGCCUUCGAGCUGUCCCUGGAGGACGCGGGCCCUGGGCCCGAGUCCAGCGGGGUCGCGCGCUUUGGGCCGCUGCACUUCGAGCGUCGGGCCCGGUUCGAGGUGGCUGACGAGGACAAGCAGUCCCGGCUGCGCUACCAGAACCUGGAGAACGAUGAGGAUGGAGCCCAGGCCUCUCCGGAGCCGGAUGGGGGAGUCAGCACCAGGUUAGGGCCAGGGAUUCCGGCCGAACUUCCAUCCGCAGCUCCCAGUGGUCCUUUAGCACCAUCAGCAGCGGCACCCAGCGCUCCUACAACACCUGCUGCAGCUGGACUCAACACCCUUUGAUCCAGAAGAACCGCCGAGUGGUGCUGGCCUCCUUCCUGCUCCUGCUGCUGGGGCUGGGUGAGUGGCCCUGAGGGUUGGGGUCAAGAGGGGCCCCGUGGGAGGCUCUGCCCUCCUUUUGUGCAGGCUCUGCUUCCCCCUUGACAUUGAGCCUCCCAGCAUCCUGGGGAGGCAGCUGGCUGCCAUCAUCACACUCCCAUUUUACAGGUGAGGAGACAGAGGCCUUGUGACCUGGGCACACAGCCAGGAAAUCACACAUAGCUGAAAAUGGAACCUGGCUUAUCACUCCAAAGACUUUUCCUUUUUUAAAAAAUUUAACCUGUUUAAUCCAUUAGGGGACAGAAGUGUAGCAGCUACCAUUUAUUCUGUGUCUGCUUUGGGCAAGGUGCAGGGCAGUUUUAUUUUCCCACCUUACAGAAGUCCUACAAGUGAGGUGGUGCCCAGAAGCCACGUGUAGGGGCUCAGGGAUGCCGAGUGCCCAGCCAGUGCAGAGCCGCAGGGCACCUGGCACUUCCCCUUGUCUGGCAUCUAAGCGCUGACAAGCACCCCUCUCCUACCCAUUGCUCAGAUGGGGGAACUUUUGGUCCAGAGCAGGCAGAUCUCACACCAGGUGUUCUUUGGCUCCCAGGCACCUCGUUCUUUGGGGUAAAGGAGGCAGAGUCCCCAGAAAGUAUCCAGGGUUGGGGUCACGAGUGAUCCAUAAGGAGGGACUAACUGUGGCUGCUACCCUGGCUCAUCUCUCCGCUUCUCCAGGAAGGCCAAGGCUCCCCAGCCAGCCAGGCCCCUGGCACAGAGUCUGGCCUCUGCUCAGGGUGUUUGAGUGCGGGGGAGGGGUCUGCCACUUCCCAGCACCGCUGUACACCGGCCCUGGUAGUGCUGCCAAGUUCUUUCAUUUUUCCUCUCAACCCAGCAAGGCAAGCCUGGGGCUACCAGAGCGCCUUAGAGGGCCUUUGUAGGGUGCAGGGAGUGAGUUUCAGCCCCCAUCAUCCCCUAUACCCCCCCUUUUUUUUUUUCUUUUUUUUCUUUUUUUUUUAGAAGGAGUCUUGCUCUGUGGCUCAGUCAGGAGUGUAGUGGCGCAAUCUCGGCUCACUGCAACCUCCGCCUCCUGGGUUCAAGGGAUUUUCAUGCCUCAGCCUCCAGAGUAGCUGGGAUUACAGGCGCCCGCCACCACACCUGGCUAAUUUUUUGUAUUUUUCUAGUAGAGAUGGGGUUUCACCAUGUUGGCCUCAGGUGAUCCACCCACCUCAGCUUCCCAAAGUGUUGGGAUUACAGGCGUGAGCCACCAUGCCCAGCCCUUUUUAUUUUUUUAGAGACAGGGUCUUGGUCUGUUGCCCAAGCUGGAGAGCUGUGGUAUGAUCACUGCAGCCUCAAACUCUUGGACUCAAGCCAUCCUCCCAGCUGAGCCUCCCUAGUAGCUGGGACUACAGGCAUGUACCACCAUGCUCAGCUAAUUUUUUUUUUUUAAAUAAUAA